ACAAGCGCUUAUAAAUUAUCAGCCAGGUCUUUGGGAAUAUCACUCUUUUUAUUUCACUCUGCUUUAAUUUAUUGUUCCUAAAUAGAGCACAAUUAUCAUUUACAGCCAGCUGCUCCUGAAACACACUAGAGAAAAAGGAUUUGUUUCUGAAGCUCUUUCUCGAUUGUUCUUUUCUUUUUUUUUCUCACAAACAGAAAUGUAUGUACUUUCCCUUUUUGGCCAAGGGACAGACCACUCCUGUGGACUCCAUUAGUCCCAAGACUGGUCCUCACAAGUUUCUGAUUUGAGAAGAAAAUUUGGUGGGUGCCAGGGACAUUUUUUUCCCAUUUGUUUCUCCUAGGAAGGUGCCUGGACACUGCAACACACCGUCCACCAGGCCUGGCCUAGCUCAACCCACUUAGAGGAAUUUCACGAAUGUGAGUAGGAGGAAUGAGAUGAUUUAAGUCUUUCUGGGCUGCUCCAGAAAGAUUCUUGGAAAAGGAUUAGUAGAUGUUUAUUGCAACUGGUAUUUGCCUGAGAAGAGCAAACAAAGCCGGUGUAAUAUUACUCCCCCAUUAUCUGCUGGGGCUUGCAGAAUAAGGGCCCAGUUGUGACGUGGUUCCUCCCCAGCUACCCAAUGCCUCUGUGGCAGGGGAGUGUCACAGUUCAUUGUGAACUCUCAAGUUUACAGGACAGCAUACCGUGUGCCUCAUAACUGACUUUAGUUUUAUGAGCUCAUUAGAUAAAAAAAAAAUAAGCAAAAAAGUAGUUAAUCCCUUCUCUGUAGACUAGCCUAAACUGUUACUUCUCUAGUUACUUAAUUUGCUAUUUUGUUAACUUGAUAAUUCAUCCUUCUUCUUCCGCCACAACACAGGUGGCUCCUGAACUGCCCUGGGAGCACAAGAGCUCAGCAGUGAGGCUGCUGGUGGACCCGCUUCAGAGAACCUCAAAGAAAACAGAACAAGCAAUGAAGAAAUGGCACAAGCACCAUUUUCACAACAAGACGAGAUUGUGCCAUGACGAAGAAUAGGCAGCUGGGGUCAAGAAAAAAGUGAAAUAUCCAAGUGCUACCUUGUCAUAUUGGGCACACUUGGUAGGAGUAAGUCCAGUAAGUGUAAGAAGCAGGGUGACUGGAAUCAAGGGAACUAAACUCUCAGUGGUUCAGUCACUAUCUUCAGAGUAAAUUAACUUGGUAACAUUUAUUGCCCUUGUGCAAAUUAACACUUUUUAGGCUCUGUGACUGGAUAGCAAAAGGAUGUUCUUUUGUAAGUCUAUUAUAAUUGUAUUUGCAUAAAACUUGAAAAUAAAACAUUUUUUCAGUCCA
Molecule: long non-coding RNA, 1303 nt
Filed under: Apteryx owenii (little spotted kiwi)
Lineage: Eukaryota; Metazoa; Chordata; Aves; Apterygiformes; Apterygidae
Description: lncRNA (ENSAOWG00000018807.1)
Source: RNAcentral